UAGCCGAACUGAGAGGUUGAUCGGCCACAUUGGGACUGAGACACGGCCCAAACUCCUACGGGAGGCAGCAGUAGGGAAUCUUCCACAAUGGACGAAAGUCUGAUGGAGCAACGCCGCGUGAAUGAAGAAGGCCUUCGGGUCGUAAAAUUCUGUUGUCAGAGAAGAAUGUGCGUGAGAGUAACUGUUCACGUAUUGACGGUAUCUGACCAGAAAGCCACGGCUAACUACGUGCCAGCAGCCGCGGUAAUACGUAGGUGGCAAGCGUUGUCCGGAUUUAUUGGGCGUAAAGGGAACGCAGGCGGUCUUUUAAGUCUGAUGUGAAAGCCUUCGGCUUAACCGAAGUAGUGCAUUGGAAACUGGAAGACUUGAGUGCAGAAGAGGAGAGUGGAACUCCAUGUGUAGCGGUGAAAUGCGUAGAUAUAUGGAAGAACACCAGUGGCGAAAGCGGCUCUCUGGUCUGUAACUGACGCUGAGGUUCGAAAGCGUGGGUAGCAAACAGGAUUAGAUACCCUGGUAGUCCACGCCGUAAACGAUGAGUGCUAAGUGUUGGAGGGUUUCCGCCCUUCAGUGCUGCAGCUAACGCAUUAAGCACUCCGCCUGGGGAGUACGGUCGCAAGACUGAAACUCAAAGGAAUUGACGGGGGCCCGCACAUGCGGUGGAGCAUGUGGUUUAAUUCGAAGCAACGCGAAGAACCUUACCAGGUCUUGACAUCUUCUGACAAUUCCAGAGAUGGAACGUUCCCUUCGGGGACAGAAUGACAGGUGGUGCAUGGUUGUCGUCAGCUCGUGUCGUGAGAUGUUGGGUUAAGUCCCGCAACGAGCGCAACCCUUAUUGUCAGUUGCCAUCAUUAAGUUGGGCACUCUGGCGAGACUGCCGGUGACAAACCGGAGGAAGGUGGGGAUGACGUCAAAUCAUCAUGCCCCUUAUGACCUGGGCUACACACGUGCUACAAUGGACGGUACAACGAGUCGCUAACUCGCGAGGGCAAGCUAAUCUCUUAAAGCCGUUCUCAGUUCGGAUUGCAGGCUGCAACUCGCCUGCAUGAAGUCGGAAUCGCUAGUAAUCGCGAAUCAGCAUGUCGCGGUGAAUACGUUCCCGGGCCCUGUACACACCGCCCGUCACACCAUGAGAGUUUGUAACACCCAAAGUCGGUGGGGUAACCUUUUGGAGCCAGCCGCCUAAGGUGGGACAGAUGAUUGGGGUGAAGUCGUAACAAGGUA
Molecule: ribosomal RNA, 1221 nt
Filed under: metagenome
Description: bacterial SSU rRNA
Rfam family: Bacterial small subunit ribosomal RNA
Source: RNAcentral